GGCUUAGAGUUUGAUCAUGGCUCAGGAUAAACGCUGGCGGCGCACAUAAGACAUGCAAGUCGAACGGACUUAAUCGAAAUAUUUAUAUUUUGAAGCGGUUAGUGGCGGACUGGUGAGUAACGCGUGAGGAACCUGCCUGUUAGAGGGGAAUAACAGUGAGAAAUCACUGCUAAUACCGCAUAUGCCAUAGUUACCACAUGGUAAUAGUGGGAAAGGAGCAAUCCGCUGACAGAUGGCCUUGCGUCUGAUUAGAUAGUUGGUGGGGUAACGGCCUACCAAGUCGACGAUCAGUAGCCGGACUGAGAGGUUGAACGGCCACAUUGGGACUGAGAUACGGCCCAGACUCCUACGGGAGGCAGCAGUCGGGAAUAUUGCGCAAUGGAGGGAACUCUGACGCAGUGACGCCGCGUAUAGGAAGAAGGUUUUCGGAUUGUAAACUAUUGUCGUUAGGGAAGAGAAAGGACAGUACCUAAGGAGGAAGCUCCGGCUAACUACGUGCCAGCAGCCGCGGUAAUACGUAGGGAGCGAGCGUUAUCCGGAAUUAUUGGGUGUAAAGGGUGCGUAGACGGGAGAACAAGUUAGUUGUGAAAUACCUCGGCUCAACUGAGGAACUGCAACUAAAACUGUACUUCUUGAGUGCAGGAGAGGUAAGUGGAAUUCCUAGUGUAGCGGUGAAAUGCGUAGAUAUUAGGAGGAACACCAGUGGCGAAGGCGACUUACUGGACUGUAACUGACGUUGAGGCACGAAAGUGUGGGGAGCAAACAGGAUUAGAUACCCUGGUAGUCCACACCGUAAACGAUGGAUACUAGGUGUAGGAGGUAUUAAGCCUUCUGUGCCGUCGCAAACGCAGUAAGUAUCCCACCUGGGGAGUAC
This 874-nucleotide ribosomal RNA is filed under the name uncultured organism. RNAcentral's name for it is "bacterial SSU rRNA". It matches the Rfam family "Bacterial small subunit ribosomal RNA", at positions 1 to 883 of the family's 1533-position model. The record is from RNAcentral.